CGUAUACAACUAAUCGUACCGUGUAAAUGGGCCUUAACUUGAGUAAGAGUACCACUGGUAGUAGAAUUUCAUCCGGCAUUAAAGGAAAUUAAUGGAAUUGUGGAAACACUUUGGCCGAUUCUGGAGACAUCGGAGUGGAUGAGGGAUGUCUUCGGUAGUAGGCCGAUUGUUUCAUAUAAGAUACCAAAAAAUUUAAAAGAUAGUUUGGUUAGAUCUAAGGUUAAAAAGGCUAAGGAGGUAAGUGUAGGGAUGAGUAAGUGUAAUAAGAGUCGUUGUAAUUCGAGUAAGUGUAAUAAGAGAUUUGUAAUUAUGUAGAUGAGGGGAAAGAAUUUCUCGAGGGAAAAGUAAAAUACUACAUUAAUUACAACUUUGAUUGCGAUUCGGCUGGGGUGAUUUAUUUGAUUUAUUGUAGAAAAUGUGGGAAAAAGUAUGUGGGGAGUACAAUUACCAGUUUUAGGAAACGUUUUAACAACCACAAAAGUAGCAUGAAUAGAUAUGGGAGAGGUGAAAGGGGUAUGGCAGGCGAGCAUUUGUAUGCUCAUUUUUUUGAUUAAGGUCAUAAUGGUAUGCAAGAUGUGAAAGUUAAAAUUAUUGAUAAAACUAAUGUUGCAUGUCCCACACAAAGAGAAGGUUUUUGGGCAUAUAAACUGAAUUCGUUUGAACCGCAUGGGUUGAAUUUAAAAGACUUUGUUUGAACAAUAGAGUUAAUCAAGCGAAUUAUUAUAAUUAGGGUAUGGACAGUUUAAAUUGUUGAAAUCAAGUGUACACAUGUAAUCUGAAGAAGGGGCUUGCCCCGAAACGUAAUAAAAAGUUGUUAUACGAGC
Molecule: non-coding RNA, 824 nt
Organism: Paramuricea clavata
Lineage: Eukaryota; Metazoa; Cnidaria; Anthozoa; Malacalcyonacea; Plexauridae
Source: the annotation of a GenBank genome assembly